Molecule: ribosomal RNA, 465 nt
Filed under: uncultured bacterium
Lineage: Bacteria
Description: partial 16S ribosomal RNA
Rfam family: Bacterial small subunit ribosomal RNA
Source: RNAcentral
CUACGGGGGGCUCCAGUGGGGAAUAUUGGACAAUGGGGGAAACCCUGAUCCAGCAAUGCCGCGUGUGUGAAGAAGGCCUGCGGGUUGUAAAGCACUUUCGGUUGGGAGGACUGCUUCUAGCACUAAUAUUGUUGGAAGUUGACGUUACCUUCAGAAGAAGCACCGGCUAACUCCGUGCGCAGCAGCCGCGGUAAUACGGAGGGUGAAGCGUUAAUCGGAAUUACUGGGCGUAAAGCGCGCGUAGGCGGCUAGAUCAGUCGGGUGUGAAGGCCCCGGGCUUAACCUGGGAACUGCAUCCGAUACUGUCUAGCUUGAGUACAGGAGAGGAGAGUGGAAUUCCACAUGUAGCGGUGAAAUGCGUAGAUAUGUGGAGGAACACCAAUGGCGAAGGCAGCUCUCUGGCCUGAUACUGACGCUGAGGUGCGAAAGCGUGGGGAGCAAACAGGAUUAGAUACCCCCGUAGUC